GAUGAACGCCGACAGAAUGCUUAACACAUGCAAGUCAACUUGAACUUCGGUUUGGGUGGCGGACGGGUGAGUAACGCGUAAAGAACUUGCCUCACAGCUAGGGACAACAUUUGGAAACGAAUGCUAAUACCUGAUAUUAUGAUUAUAUGGCAUCGUAUAAUUAUGAAAGCUAUAUGCGCUGUGAGAGAGCUUUGCGUCCCAUUAGCUAGUUGGAGAGGUAACAGCUCACCAAGGCGAUGAUGGGUAGCCGGCCUGAGAGGGUGAUCGGCCACAAGGGGACUGAGACACGGCCCUUACUCCUACGGGAGGCAGCAGUGGGGAAUAUUGGACAAUGGACCGAGAGUCUGAUCCAGCAAUUCUGUGUGCACGAUGAAGUUUUUCGGAAUGUAAAGUGCUUUCAGUUGGGAAGAAAAAAAUGACGGUACCAACAGAAGAAGUGACGGCUAAAUGCGUG
This 454-nucleotide ribosomal RNA is filed under the name uncultured bacterium. RNAcentral describes it as "partial 16S ribosomal RNA". It matches the Rfam family "Bacterial small subunit ribosomal RNA", at positions 28 to 507 of the family's 1533-position model. The record is from RNAcentral.